GACGAACGCUGGCGGCGUGCCUAAUACAUGCAAGUAGAACGCUGAAGGAGGAGCUUGCUUCUCUGGAUGAGUUGCGAACGGGUGAGUAACGCGUAGGUAACCUGCCUGGUAGCGGGGGAUAACUAUUGGAAACGAUAGCUAAUACCGCAUAAGAGUAGAUGUUGCAUGACAUUUACUUAAAAGGUGCAAUUGCAUCACUACCAGAUGGACCUGCGUUGUAUUAGCUAGUUGGUGAGGUAACGGCUCACCAAGGCAACGAUACAUAGCCGACCUGAGAGGGGGAUCGGCCACACUGGGACUGAGACACGGCCCAGACUCCUACGGGAGGCAGCAGUAGGGAAUCUUCGGCAAUGGACGGAAGUCUGACCGAGCAACGCCGCGUGAGUGAAGAAGGUUUUCGGAUCGUAAAGCUCUGUUGUAAGAGAAGAACGAGUGUGAGAGUGGAAAGUUCACACUGUGACGGUAUCUGACCAGAAAGGGACGGCUAACUACGUG
This 495-nucleotide ribosomal RNA is filed under the name uncultured bacterium. Its description in RNAcentral is "partial 16S ribosomal RNA". It matches the Rfam family "Bacterial small subunit ribosomal RNA", at positions 28 to 507 of the family's 1533-position model. The record is from RNAcentral.